This is a ribosomal RNA of Protopterus annectens (West African lungfish), 154 nucleotides long. RefSeq annotates it as 5.8S ribosomal RNA. The record is from RefSeq and is a predicted model, not a curated record. The transcript has a single exon. NCBI's taxonomy places the organism in Eukaryota, Metazoa, Chordata, Ceratodontiformes, Protopteridae.
GACUCUGAGUGGUGGAUCACUCAGCUUGUGUGUCGAUGAAGAACACAGCUAGCUGUGAGAACUAAUGUGAAUUGAAGGACACAUUGAUCAUAGAUACUUCAAAUGCACUUUGUAGCCAUGGGUUACUCCUGGGGCUAUGCCUGUCUGAGGGCUG